RNAcentral lists this ribosomal RNA (757 nucleotides) under uncultured bacterium. Its description in RNAcentral is "bacterial SSU rRNA". It matches the Rfam family "Bacterial small subunit ribosomal RNA", at positions 100 to 870 of the family's 1533-position model. The record is from RNAcentral.
GAACGGGUGAGUACACGUGGGUGAUCUGCCCUGCACUUUGGGAUAAGCCUGGGAAACUGGGUCUAAUACCGAAUAUGACCAUGCACUUCCUGGUGUGUGGUGGAAAGCUUUUGCGGUGUGGGAUGGGNCNNNGGCCUAUCAGCUUGUUGGUGGGGUAAUGGCCUACCAAGGCGACGACGGGUAGCCGGCCUGAGAGGGUGACCGGCCACACUGGGACUGAGAUACGGCCCAGACUCCUACGGGAGGCAGCAGUGGGGAAUAUUGCACAAUGGGCGCAAGCCUGAUGCAGCGACGCCGCGUGAGGGAUGACGGCCUUCGGGUUGUAAACCUCUUUCAGCACAGACGAAGCGCAAGUGACGGUAUGUGCAGAAGAAGGACCGGCCAACUACGUGCCAGCAGCCGCGGUAAUACGUAGGGUCCGAGCGUUGUCCGGAAUUACUGGGCGUAAAGAGCUCGUAGGUGGUUUGUCGCGUUGUUCGUGAAAACUCACAGCUUAACUGUGGGCGUGCGGGCGAUACGGGCAGACUUGAGUACUGCAGGGGAGACUGGAAUUCCUGGUGUAGCGGUGGAAUGCGCAGAUAUCAGGAGGAACACCGGUGGCGAAGGCGGGUCUCUGGGCAGUAACUGACGCUGAGGAGCGAAAGCGUGGGGAGCGAACAGGAUUAGAUACCCUGGUAGUCCACGCCGUANACGGUGGGUACUAGGUGUGGGUUUCCUUCCUUGGGAUCCGUGCCGUAGCUAACGCAUUAAGNNNCCC